AGACGAACCGGCCGAACGUUAUUCGGAAUUACUGGGCUUAAAGAGUGCGUAGGCGGCCUUUCAGGUGAGGUGUGAAAUCCCCCGGCUCAACCGGGGAACUGCGCUUCAAACCGUUUGGCUUGAGGGAGAUAGAGGUGAGCGGAACUGAUGGUGGAGCGGUGAAAUGCGUUGAUAUCAUCAGGAACACCUGUGGCGAAAGCGGCUCACUGGGUCUCUUCUGACGCUGAGGCACGAAAGCUAGGGUAGCGAACAGGAUUAGAAACCCCGGUAGUCC
Molecule: ribosomal RNA, 274 nt
Filed under: uncultured bacterium
Lineage: Bacteria
Description: partial 16S ribosomal RNA
Rfam family: Bacterial small subunit ribosomal RNA
Source: RNAcentral